AGCAGCCGCGGUAAUUCCAGCUCCAAUAGCGUAUAUUAAAGUUGCUGCAGUUAAAAAGCUCGUAGUUGAAUUUCGGGACUAAUAUGUCGGUCGUGCCUCGGUACGUACUGGUUUAUUGGUUUCUCCUUUCUGAAGAACCAUGAUGUCAUUUAUUUGGUGUCGUGGGGAAUCAGGACUGUUACUUUAGAAAAAAUUAGAGUGUUUAAAGCAGGCUCACGCUUGAAUACAUUAGCAUGGAAUAAUGAAAUAGGACGUUUGAUUCUAUUUUGUUGGUUUCUAGGAUCGACGUAAUGAUUAAUAGGGAUAGUUGGGGGCAUUAGUAUUCAAUUGUCAGAGGUGAAAUUCUUGGAUUUAUUGAAGACUAACUACUGCGAAAGCAUUUGCCAAGGAUGUUUUCAUUAAUCAAGAACGAAAGUUAGGGGAUCGAAGACGAUCAGAUACCGUCGUAGUCUUAACCAUAAACUAUGCCGACUAGGGAUCGGAUGAUGUUAAUUUUUAAUGACUCAUUCGGCGCCUUAAC
This 520-nucleotide ribosomal RNA is filed under the name uncultured Glomus. RNAcentral describes it as "SSU rRNA". It matches the Rfam family "Eukaryotic small subunit ribosomal RNA", at positions 569 to 1092 of the family's 1831-position model. The record is from RNAcentral. Lineage: Eukaryota; Fungi; Glomeromycota; Glomeromycetes; Glomerales; Glomeraceae.